ACGAACGUUGGCGGCGUGCCUAAUGCAUGCAAGUCGAACGAGGGACCCCAUCCGGGUAACCGGAAGGGGUCACCUAGUGGCGAACGGGUGAGUAACACGUGAGAAACCUGCCCCGGAGACCGGAAUAGCCCAGGGAAACUUGGAUUAAUGCCGGAUGUCCUCGGAUGGUCGCAUGGUCGACCGAGGAAAAGUCCGCUGCUCCGGGAUGGUCUCGUGGCCUAUCAGCUUGUUGGUGAGGUAACGGCUCACCAAGGCGACGACGGGUAGCUGGUCUGAGAGGACGAUCAGCCACACUGGGACUGAGACACGGCCCAGACUCCUGCGGGAGGCAGCAGCAGGGAAUUUUGCACAAUGGACGAAAGUCUGAUGCAGCGACGCCGCGUGGGGGAUGAAUGCCUUCGGGUUGUAAAGUGCUUUUUGAAAGGAUGAGGAAGGACAGUACUUUCAGAAUAAGCUUCGGCUAACUACGU
RNAcentral lists this ribosomal RNA (470 nucleotides) under uncultured bacterium. RNAcentral describes it as "bacterial SSU rRNA". It matches the Rfam family "Bacterial small subunit ribosomal RNA", at positions 29 to 506 of the family's 1533-position model. The record is from RNAcentral.